UUCGGGUUGUCAUGCCAAUGGCACUGCCCGGUAGCUAAAUGCGGAAGAGAUAAGUGCUGAAAGCAUCUAAGCACGAAACUUGCCCCGAGAUGAGUUCUCCCUGACUCCUUGAGAGUCCUGAAGGAACGUUGAAGACGACGACGUUGAUAGGCCGGGUGUGUAAGCGCAGCGAUGCGUUGAGCUAACCGGUACUAAUGAACCGUGAGGCUUAACCUUACAACGCCGAAGCUGUU
Molecule: ribosomal RNA, 233 nt
Filed under: Escherichia coli
Lineage: Bacteria; Pseudomonadati; Pseudomonadota; Gammaproteobacteria; Enterobacterales; Enterobacteriaceae
Description: partial 23S ribosomal RNA
Rfam family: Bacterial large subunit ribosomal RNA
Source: RNAcentral